RNAcentral lists this transfer RNA (71 nucleotides) under Nippostrongylus brasiliensis. It matches the Rfam family "tRNA". Rfam says of the family: Transfer RNA (tRNA) molecules are approximately 80 nucleotides in length. Their secondary structure includes four short double-helical elements and three loops (D, anti-codon, and T loops). Further hydrogen bonds mediate the characteristic L-shaped molecular structure. tRNAs have two regions of fundamental functional importance: the anti-codon, which is responsible for specific mRNA codon recognition, and the 3' end, to which the tRNAs corresponding amino acid is attached (by aminoacyl-tRNA synthetases). tRNAs cope with the degeneracy of the genetic code in two manners: having more than one tRNA (with a specific anti-codon) for a particular amino acid; and 'wobble' base-pairing, i.e. permitting non-standard base-pairing at the 3rd anti-codon position. The record is from Rfam by way of RNAcentral. Lineage: Eukaryota; Metazoa; Nematoda; Chromadorea; Rhabditida; Heligmosomidae.
GUCUCAGUAGCAUAGUGGUUAAUGUACAGCCUCGGAAAGGUUGAGACGCGGGUUCGAUUUCGUCUGAGAUG